UACGGAGGGAGCUAGCGUUGUUCGGAAUUACUGGGCGUAAAGCGCACGUAGGCGGCUUUUUAAGUCAGGGGUGAAAUCCCGGAGCUCAACUCCGGAACUGCCUUUGAAACUGGGAAGCUAGAAUCUUGGAGAGGCGAGUGGAAUUCCGAGUGUAGCGGUGAAAUUCGUAGAUAUUCGGAAGAACACCAGUGGCGAAGGCGACUAACUGGACUUGUAUUGACGCUGAGGUACGAAAGCUAGGGGAGCGAAAGGG
RNAcentral lists this ribosomal RNA (253 nucleotides) under uncultured bacterium. RNAcentral describes it as "partial 16S ribosomal RNA". It matches the Rfam family "Bacterial small subunit ribosomal RNA", at positions 524 to 776 of the family's 1533-position model. The record is from RNAcentral.